UUGUCGACGUUGACUGGUCAUCGUUUCCGCCUGAAAGCUUACGGUGGCUGGCUUUGUGACCACCCAAAGCCUGGUAAGAGUUAAAGGACUUGUUGCAAACGCUGCACUUGUAGCUAACAUUUUGCACUGUUGAGGUCGGUGCUGGUGCUGGUGCUGGUGCUGGUGCUGGUGCAGGCGGUGGUGAGGCGGUUGGAGUAGGAGAACGAUGGCGGUGUGGGAUAACAGAAGUGUUGGUGGAGUUGGCAUCACCGCCGCGUGCUAGCAUGAUAAGGCAGAGAGCGAGGUAUUCUUCCUCGGUGGUCACAUGAUCGAAACGCGGUCGCU
Molecule: long non-coding RNA, 324 nt
Filed under: Gossypium raimondii (Peruvian cotton)
Lineage: Eukaryota; Viridiplantae; Streptophyta; Magnoliopsida; Malvales; Malvaceae
Description: long non-coding RNA (GRAI_LNC007053)
Source: RNAcentral